GCGGCUCGGUGGUGGGAAGGGAAACAGAUGGAAUACUCAUAGACAGUCUCACACACGAGAGUAUACACAACUUAAUCAGCCUCAGCCACAAAAAAGAAAAAGACAAAGAUCAUGUUCAAAAAGUCUGAAGAUUUCUUUCCUCUUCUCAGUUUUACAAGACAAAAACCCAUGAAAGAUCUCCAUCAUUUAAAUAGCAAAGGACAAGAAAAUCCCCACCAUAGGUGGAGAAAAUGAUCGAACAAGAAAGGA
This 249-nucleotide unclassified non-coding RNA is filed under the name Hevea brasiliensis (rubber tree). The record is from RNAcentral. Lineage: Eukaryota; Viridiplantae; Streptophyta; Magnoliopsida; Malpighiales; Euphorbiaceae.